UGGUGGAGUGAUUUGUCUGCUUAAUUGCGUUAACGAACGAGACCUUAACCUGCUAAAUAGUUAUGCUUACGUUUAGGUUUGCUCAGGUUUCGACUUGGGUUUACUGUGUAGGUAGAUAUACUUCUUAGAGGGACUAUGCAUGUUUAGUGCAUGGAAGUUUGAGGCAAUAACA
RNAcentral lists this ribosomal RNA (172 nucleotides) under uncultured eukaryote. Its description in RNAcentral is "partial 18S ribosomal RNA". It matches the Rfam family "Eukaryotic small subunit ribosomal RNA", at positions 1299 to 1458 of the family's 1831-position model. The record is from RNAcentral.